Molecule: long non-coding RNA, 1327 nt
Organism: Vicia villosa (hairy vetch)
Lineage: Eukaryota; Viridiplantae; Streptophyta; Magnoliopsida; Fabales; Fabaceae
Exons: 3
Source: RefSeq, a predicted model, not a curated record
UCAAUAUUUUUUUUGGGGAUUUAAAGAAUUAGAACUGAAACGUUUAGGGUAUUUCUCUUCUUGUCCUCCUCAUUUUGCCCUAACAAAGAAUUUUUUAAAAACUUCAUUGAAGACCAAACAUGCGAAGGUGAAGAACACUUUGGAUUUCAAAAACCUUCAUGGAAGCUGUUUACAUUGAUGUCGUAGCUCGAUUCAAUGAAGAAACUUGAAAAAAAGAGUAUGAGUAAGCCCAGUGUUGUUGUCCAUCACAUGGGGGAGUUUGUUAGAGACAAGACAAUUCUUUAGAAGAGUGGUGUUCAAACAACUGUAUAUGAUCAAUGUAGCAAAAAAUGGGGUAUGUCUAACGUGUUAAAGAUGGUUAUUUACUGGGGCUAUGAAAGAAAUGUGUUUAAGGUUUGGAGAAAACUUGAAGGAAUAGAUGAUUACUUUUUUGAAGUUAACAAUGAUGAUUAUGUUGUAGAUGUUGGUAAACAUACUUUUCAAAUAAAAACAUGGGUGGGCACCCACAUUUGUGCUGUGGUUUUGAAUAUUAGAACUGCAAAGUCUGAAUGGGUUGCAAAGAUUGUAGUAAACAAGAUGCAGACAAGUGAUAAUGUUAGGAUUAAUGAUAUAAUUCAAGACAUGAGGAAGAAUUAUGCAUAUGGCCUAAAGUUGAUGUAAAUGUUUUACAUCCCCCUUUGUACAAGAAAGGACAUGGCUGACCAAAGAAACUUAGGUUUAGGGAAUUAGCGAGGGUGGUUCAAUACUGGGGAGAGUUGGGGUGACCUACAGAUGUACCAAGUGUAAUAAAAUGGGUCAUAAGUUAAGAAGAUGCAAGAAACAACUCAGUAUUCAGAUGCUUUGAAAAGAAAGAGAAAAACUCCUUGAUACAAUUAUCAUCCAGCUGAGACAAGUGAUACACAUACAGAUGAGCCAAGUGAUACACAUCCAGCUGAACCAAGUGAUGCACUUCCCGUUGAACCAAGUGACCUCCCUGCACAUCAACAACCUAAGAAGAUGAAAUUAAAAAGAAUCAAGAAAGUUGCACCUAAAGCUUAAAUAGCCUCAUUCACCUCAACAUGAAGGGGGUGUAACCUCGAUUAUACAAGCGAAGUAAGGAAUGACAACUUGAAAACCUACCACUUUACCCCCCCCCCCCCUCUAUUUUUGAAUAACAGAGGGGAAAAGUGGCACUGGUCAUGAGUUUUAUCCCCAUCAACUGCAUUUUUUGAAUUUUCAAAACUAAAAAAAGCGUUAUACUUUCACCUCGUGUUUUCAAAAUACCUGAGGGGAAAUUUUUAAUUUUUUAAAAUUUUAAUCUAUUUUUUUCAAUCUGCAAAACAUCUAA